GUGCCAGCGCCGCGGUAAUACGAGGGGUGCGAGCGUUGUCCGGAAUCACUGGGCGUAAAGGGCGCGUAGGCGUCUUGGCAAGCCUUGAUUGAAAUCCCCCGGCUCAACCGGGGAACUGGUCAGGGAACUGCCAAGAUAGAGUUUGGUAGGGGAGAGUGGAAUUCCUGGUGUAGCGGUGAUAUGCGUAGAUAUCAGGAGGAACACCGAAAGCGAAGGCAGCUCUCUGGGCCAAUACUGACGCUGAGGCGCGAAAGCGUGGGGAGCAAACAGGAUUAGAUACCCUGGUAGUCCACGCCGUAAACGAUGAGCACUUGGUGUCGGGGGAUUCGACCCCCUCGGUGCCGUAGCUAACGUGUUAAGUGCUCCGCCUGGGGACUACGACCGCAAGGUUGAAACUCAAAGGAAUUGACGGGAGCCCGCACAAGCAGCGGAGCGUGUGGUUUAAUUCGAAGUAACACGAAGAACCUUACCUGGGCUUGACAUGU
RNAcentral lists this ribosomal RNA (485 nucleotides) under uncultured Fidelibacterota bacterium. RNAcentral's name for it is "bacterial SSU rRNA". It matches the Rfam family "Bacterial small subunit ribosomal RNA", at positions 505 to 989 of the family's 1533-position model. The record is from RNAcentral. Lineage: Bacteria; Pseudomonadati; Fidelibacterota.